RNAcentral lists this long non-coding RNA (1163 nucleotides) under Apteryx owenii (little spotted kiwi). Its description in RNAcentral is "lncRNA (ENSAOWG00000004991.1)". The record is from RNAcentral. Lineage: Eukaryota; Metazoa; Chordata; Aves; Apterygiformes; Apterygidae.
GGGGGUCCUCAAGGUCCCCAUGGGGGUCCCCGACCUCCGUGUCCUCUCCUUCUUCCUCUAAGGGGUCCCCAAGGUCCAUAGAGGGUCUUCAAAGGGGUCUCACCACCCCCUCAAGGUCCUCCUGGGGGUCCCCAAGGUCCCCAAAGGGGUCCCCAAGGUCACUAUGGGGGUCCUCAAGGUCCCCAUGGGAGUCCCCCACCUCCAUAUCUGCAUUUUCUUCCACCAAGGGGCCCCCCAGGCCCACAGGGGGUCUCCAAAGGGGUCUCACCGCCUCCCCAAGGUCCUCCUGGGGGUCCAGAAGGUCCCCACGGGGGCGCCCCACUUCUGUGUCCUCAUCUUAGGGGGUCCCCAACAACCACGGGGGAUCCCCAACGCCCAUAGCAGGGUCUUCAAAGGGGUCCUGCCACCACCCCAAGGUCCUCCGGGGGGUCCAAAAGGUCCCUAGAGGGGUCCCCAUGGUGGCCCCCCGGCUCCAUGUCCAAAUCUUCCUCACCCGGGGGGGGGGUCCCCAACACCCAUGAGGGGUCCCCGAGGUCCACGGAGGGUCUCCAAAGGGAUCUCACCACCUCCCCAAUGUCUUCACAGAGGUCCUGAAGGUCCCCAACGGGGUCCCCAAGGUCACUAUGGGGGGUCCAGAAGGUCUCCAUGAGGGUCCCCCACCUCCAUGUCCUCAACUUCUUCCUCUUAGGGGUCCCCAAAGUCCAUGGGGGGGGGGUGGGGGGGUCUUCAAAGGGGUCCUGCCACCUCACCAAGGUCCUCCGAGGUGUCCCCAAGGUCCCCCAAGGCGCCCCCCCCCAGCUCGCUACGGGGGGGCUCCCACCUCCAUGUCCUCGUCUUCUUCUUCUAAGGGGUCCCCGACACCCCCGGGGACAUUCCCGAAGGGGUCCUCCCCCUCCCCAAGCUUCUCCAGAGGGUCCCCGAGGUCCUCCAGGGGGUCCCCGAGGUCCUCCAGGGGGUCCUCCAGGGGGUCCUCCAGAGGGUCCCCAAGGUCAAGAGGGUCCCCGAGGUCCUCCAGGGGGUCCUCGAGGACACCUGGGGACAAGACGAUGGUUCAGGAUGGGGGUUGGAGGACCUUGAGGAUGUUGGAGGACAAGACGAUGGUUGAGGAUGGGAGUUGAAGGACCUUGAGGACACCUGGGGACACAGGGACACGUGGGGAUGGG